UACAGAGGUCCCAAGCGUUGUUCGGAUUCACUGGGCGUAAAGGGUGCGUAGGCGGUCGGGUAAGUCUGAUGUGAAAUCUCACAGCUUAACUGUGAAACUGCAUUGGAUACUAUCCGGCUCGAGGAAUGGAGGGGAGACUUGAAUACUUGGUGUAGCAGUGAAAUGCGUAGAUAUCAAGUGGAACACCAGUGGCGAAGGCGAGUCUCUGGACAUUUCCUGACGCUGAGGCACGAAAGCCAGGGGAGCAAACGGG
This 253-nucleotide ribosomal RNA is filed under the name uncultured bacterium. RNAcentral describes it as "partial 16S ribosomal RNA". It matches the Rfam family "Bacterial small subunit ribosomal RNA", at positions 524 to 776 of the family's 1533-position model. The record is from RNAcentral.